UUUUUUUUUUUUUUUUUUUUUGGAGGAUUUGUGAAGGACUUGCAUUCAUCCCUACGCUAUAAUUACACUUUUCAAGAUCUACUUUCUUAAGACUUGCUGAAAGUUUUUUGAGCACGCACAUCUUUAUUUAAUUAAGGAAACAAGGUAUUGGCUUCCACAAUUUAGGUGACCACUUAUUUGCGAUUCUCAGAGGGUUCAAUUUGGUAGAAAAGGAAAGAGGAACGGUUCCUUGCCUGCCUUUGUACCAGGGUAUCUCCCAUGUUUAUGAUUGGUGAAAAUGUCGACCCGCGCCGAGAGAAACACGGAGACAGAGUUUUGAGUGAAGGGGAAAAAAUAGCUUUUAUUGCUUUACCAGUCCAAUGGCAAGAUUUUCAGUCUACUACCCCCCAAAUCCCAGUCCUUCCCACACCCCAAACUCCAGUCUGUCAAGCACAAAUCAGUUUUCCAGUCCACAAGUUUCUUUUCUGUAGAAAAUUUCAUGGGUGUCAUUUGUCAGAUUCCAGAUAGACUCGGUGUCCCAUGGUAUAUGCCUUUCACUUUCAGACAUAUUUCACUUACUAUGAGAGUUCCUCUUUCAAUCUAUGUGGCUGUGAAUGGCAUUUUUUUGCUCCAUUUUAUGGCCAAGUAGAUUUCCAUUGUGUGUAUGUAAAUCCUCUUCCUAAUCGAAUAUCCUGUCCAUGGACAUAGAGUUGUUUCAGUCUUGCUAUGGUGAAUAGUGCUGCAUGAACAAAGCGGGGCAUUUAAAAAUUUUUAAAGAGUGUAUAAAUCCUCUUCCUAAUCGAAUAUUCUGUCCAUGGACAUAGAGUUGUUUCAGUCUUGCUCUUGUGAAUAGUGCUGCAUGAACAAAGCGGGGCAUUUAAACAUUUUUAAAGAGUGUUUGCCGGGUAUAUGCUCAAGAGUCCGAUUUCCGAGUCAUAUGGUCCUCUCACAUUGGUUUUUCAGACUGCCUCGAUCCUGCGUCCGUAGUGGUUGUAGCAGUUUACGUAACCACCCAACUGUAAGAAGGUGCCUUCAGCUCCACAUCCUCUCCGGGGUUUUUAUUUGUAGACUUCCUAAUGAAGGUCAUUCAAGAGGGGUGCCUUUUGAAUGUCAUUUUGUUUGCAUUUCUCUCCUAAUAAAUGAUCUUUUUUUUUUUUUUCUGGUGCUUGCUGCCCUCUGUUUAACUGGCUUAGGGAAAUAGCUAUUCAGGUCUUUUGCCCAUUUUUCAAUUGGGAUCUUGGUGGUGUUUUUCUGUUGGGUGGUGUUUUGGCUGUUGUUGAGCUGGUAAUUUUGAUACCCCGGCCUGACCUGGGCUUUGGUAUUCAGAUAAAGUGCCUGCGGGUUGUGCAUGAAAGGGGAUAAUAUGGUGAUAUUUUGCUCAGUCACUGUGCUAAUUCCUGUGCUUUUUGUCUCAAGCGGUCUCCUGAAAAUCCAUCCUUUUCUUUAUAUUGUGAGGCUCUUCUCUUCUCUCCAUUCACUUGGUUUAAAUACCUGACCUAGAGCAAGGUCAGGUUAAUUAAGGCUGGUAGAUUCAAUUAUAUAAAUAAAUCUCUCACCAAGAUCCCUCGAGGAUCCCUUGGUAAAAGAUCAAUCUUUCUCUCUGUAGUGGUUUGAUAACCUCUAUGUCUUGAAAAAUAUCGACUGGCCGAAAACGCACACAUGCUUAAGGUGGAGUCAAUAAAGUUAGAAAUAUGUCAAGAGAGAAAGAGAAAAAUGAAAGAAAAAAGCAAGACUUUAUGAAUGAAGGAUUCACAGUUGGAAAAUAAAGAACAAAAUCAGUUGUUACAUACCUACAACCUAUCUUCAUAAAUACAUAAUUGCAGGGAUAUAUAACAAUGGAAGUAGGAUAUCAUGAAAUGAUGGGUCUGGAGCUGGGUGUUUGAAGUGAGUAGCAUCUGUAAUAUGUUUGCUACAGGGCUCUGAAUGCUUUGAGAGAGAAGUAGCCCAGCUGGGAGGUCACUUCUUGAUAUUUCAUAAACCAGAGGAAGGAAACCCAAGGAGCAUAUUGCCCAUGAAUAAUGCAGCUCCUUGGGCUGUUGAGCCUGUUAGGGGAAGAAGACCUGACAGUGGCUGUUAGAGCAGAUGUCCACCAGAUGGCCCCAGAGUAAGUUCUGGACCCGAUGCAGCUCCAGGCCUGCAGGUGCAGCUCAGGCCACAUCCAGCACCUUGAUUUUGGUUUUGUUUUCUGAACACCUGUGACUCUCUGCUCUGAUAUGUCUCAUGUCAGGCGAAGGACACAGGUGUCCCUUCAGCAUUUUUAGGUGGAUUGGGGCCUGGUGGGGUGCCAGGGGUUUUAGAAUAUUUGAAGAAUUCACUGGGUUUUGAAGUGUUUUGUGUUCCUCCCGAUGUAGGUGCCAAGACCCAUACAUCAUUUGUGUUGAAUCGUGGCCUGGCCAUUUUAAAGCCCCUGCGGGUUGGAGGUUCAAGUAUGUUGAAGAUAGAGGCUGGUGCUGAUGAAGGAAUGAUGGCUUCUGGGGCAUCAUGGGGGCAGCUGUGCUAAUCCCUGUGCUUGUUUCUUUCAAGAGGCCUGGGGCAUGUUCUUCUUGCCUUUGGAGAUGAGCAUCUCUUUUCAGUACAGUGCCAGGUUAAGGAGGCCUGACUGAAACCAUGUCUGGUUAAGUAAGCAGGGCUGAUUGGUAUCAUCAAGAAUGCUCUCAGCGUGUUCCCUCGUGGCUGCCUGGCUUAAUAGUCUCUCUCUGUCACUGCUGUGGCUGUGCUCAAACCUUUGAUGUGUGAUCAGACUCUGGCCAGACAACAUUCCAGUAUCACAUGUGGCACCCAAAUAUAUUUAUAAGUGCAUACAUAUACUGAAAGGAAUGUGCUCAAUUUAUAAAGAAGUCAAAGAAAGCAUAUUCACAUUCCUACAGUGUAGCUAAGGACAUUGGUAGCUAAGGCAAUCCUAACGGCUCUCCUGACCCUAUAACUUGGGUGGCAGAUUUUUUUAAAGUACGAGCCCAGGUUUGUACUACAGUGGUGUGGUUUCAGUUCCUGGGCAGACAGUAUCUGCAUCCAACAAAAGGGUGCAGAGCCAUAAAUAGGUAAAUAAAAAGAAAAAUGUUAAUGUAGAAAUUAAUCAUAAACCUAUGAAAUUCUCUGUUUUUGGAUGUCACAUUGCUAAGAAAUCUUGGCAGGUUCAACGGAGACGGUUUGCCUGUUGUUGUUUUGAUUGUUUUGUUUUUUUGUUUUUUGUUUUUUUCUGAGAGAGGCGUGAUUCUGGACCCAGACGUCUUCUCUGGUGAAUGCUGAGCCAGUCAUUUUUGUGGGCUUUAUAAAACCAUCUUUAAAGUUUCCAUUGGAGCUGAUUUAUUCUCAAUUUCUCUUUAAGAGCAACGUGAUACAUUUGUACCUGUAUAUACACAUUCUAUUUUAAAGUUGUAGUAGUUUUAUUUUUUCCGUUAUAGCUGGUUUAGAAUGUUGUGUCAAUUUUCUGCUGUACGCAGAUGACCCAUUAUCACGCUCCAUUAUAAGUGACCAUAUAUAAUUCCCAGUGCUAUGCAGCAGGUUCUCAUUGACGCUCCAUUCCAGAGGCAAUAGUUUGCAUCUAUUAACCCAAAGUCCCCCUCCGUCCCCCUCCCUCCCCCUUGCCAGCGGCACAGGUGUCCCUCAGGAUAUGGAGGUGGACUGGCAGUCUGGUUGGGUGGCAGUGCUUUUAGAAUGCUUGUAGCAUUCACUGGGUUUCAGAAUGACUUGUGUUCCUGCAGAGGCGGGGACUGAGACACACACAGCAUCUGUGUUGUAUCAUCACUGGGCCAUUUUCCAGCCCCUGACCAUUGGGGGUUUAUGUAGUUUGAGGAAGAGGCUGGUGCCCACAAAUGAAUGAGGGGCUUUGGUGUCAUUAAGGUGGGCAGCUGGGCUAAUCCUUGUGCUUUUUUCACUCAAGAGGCUUAGGGAAAUUUCAUUUUUGCCUUUUGAGAUGAGCCUCACCUUUCACUACAGCGCCAGGGUGUGGAGGCAUGACUGAAACCAGGCCUGAUGAAUUGAGAAGAGUUGAUUGGUAUCAUCAAGGACGCGCUCAGGAAGUUCCCUUCUGGCUGCCUGGCUCAAGAUUCCCUCUCUGUUGGUGCUGUGGUUGUGUUAAGAGCUGCAUCGGGAGAUUGAACCCUGGCCAGACAACAUCCCCAUAUCGCAGGUGGCACACAAAUAAAUUUAUAAAUUAAAAGAGAUAUAGAAAUGAAUGAGCUCAGUUGAUAAAGUCCUUAAUCAAUACAUAUCUGCAUUCCUAAAGAGCAGACCAGUGAAUUGAUAGAUGAGGCAAUCCUAAAGGCAUUGCUGACACUCUAACUCAGGGGACAGAGCCCGAUCCUGCUGUUGUGCAGAAGUGCGGUGGACUAAGUACCUAGGCAGACAGUAUCUGCAUGCCAAACAUUGCCCCAGGACAUAACUAGAUAAGUGAAACUAGUAAAUAAAAUGCUAAUACAGGAUUAUAUUCCUACACACUAAGUAAUUAUAGCUGGUCUUUUUCACAUUGCUAGGAGAUCUUGACAGGUUCAAUGAAUUCUCUCUGCCAGGUUUUUUGUUUUUUCCUUAAGAGGCAGGAGUGUGGACAUAGACAUCUUCUCUGGUGAUGCUGAGCCGGUCAUUUUAGAAUGAUUUUAUCAUUUUUUUCCUUUACAGCUGGUUUAUUGUGCUCAGUUUUUCUUUAACAGCAAACUGAUCCCUACGUACUUGUAUAUACAUACUCUUUUGCUCACAUAUCCUCCACCUUGCUCUGAAAAAGGGGACUAGAUAUAGUUCCCUGGGCUAAGUAUCAGGGUGUCAUUGCUUACCACACCAAGUGCAAGGUUUUGGAUCUAUCAACCCCCAAACCCCAGUCCUUCACACACCCUCCCCCUCCAAUCCGAUAACCGCAAAUCUGUUUUCCUGUUCAGAGUUUCUUUUCUGAUGAAAGGUUCCUUACUGCCAUUUGUUAGACUCCAGAUAGAAGGGGUAUUCUUUGGUAUUUUUCUUUUUUCUUUUUGUCUUUUCUAGGGCCACACUCGUGGUGUACGGAGAGUCCCAGGCUAGGGGUCUAAUCAGAGCUGUAGCCGCCGGCCUACGCCAGAGCCACAGCAACACAGGAUCCGAGCCGCGUCUGCGACCUACACCACAGCUCACAGCAAUGCCGGACCCUUAACCCACUGAGCAAGGCCAGGGAUCGAACCCGCAACCUCAUGGUUCCUAGUUGGAUUUGUUAACCACUGAACCACGACGGGAACUCCCUUUGGUAUUUUUCUAUCUCUUUCGGACUUCUUUCACCUAGUGUGAGGGUUUCUAGUUCCAUCUAUGAGGCUGUGGAAGGCAUUUUUUCUUCUUUUAUGUCUGAGUAGUAUUCCAUUGUGUACAUGUACAUCCUGCUCCUAAUCCCGUCAUCUGUCGAUGGACACUGGGUUUGUUCCCUUAUUUUGCUAUUGUGAAUAGUGCUGCAUGUGCCUAGCUCUGCCUUUAACUUUUUAAAAGAACACUUUCCAGGAGUAUGCCCGAGACUGGGAUUGCUGUGUCAUGGGUUGUUCUAUAUUUAUUUCUUGUAUUUAACUCAAUUCAGUGGACCGCAGUGGUUGUACCAAUUUAGAUACUCACCUACACUGUGGGAGGGCAUGCUCUACAGCACACCCAGCUCACCAUUCCUUAACUGUAGCCUUUCCAAUGAUGCCCAUUCUCACGGAUGUGCGGUGGCAUCUCAGCACCCAUUUUAUUUGCUUCUUUCUACUGCUGAGUGAUGGUGAUCAUUUUUACAGCGCUUGUUGCCCUCUGAGUAUCUGGACUAGGGAAAUGCGUACUUAGGUUUUUACCCAUUUUUCCAUGGGGUUGUUGGCUUUAUUUUGCUGUUGUGCAGAAUCUGUUGUUGGGGUGGUGUUUUGGAAACCCCAGCCUGACCUGGGAUUUUGGAUCCAGAAAACGUGCCUGUGGGUUGUAUGGAAGGUUGUAGAUGGUGAUGGUUUGGUGAGCAGCUGUGCCUCCCUGUGCUUUUCCCCACGUGGUCCCUGAAACCGGGUCCUUUUCUCUCCACGUGAUCCUCUUUUGCUCUCCCUAUACACUUGCUGUGAGGACCUCAUCUAAAUCCAGGUCCGGGGAUUAAGGCAGGCAUAUUGAUGGAUGUAAAGGAAGCUCUCACCAAGAUGCCUCCCUGCUCCCUUGGUAAAAGGUACGUCUUUGUCACUGUGGUGGGUUUGGUAACUUCUUUUGCUGAAACAACUUUAGUGGACCAACAACUCAUGCACGCCUCAGGUGGGGUCAAUAAAUUUAGAAAGAAAGAG
This 6212-nucleotide long non-coding RNA is filed under the name Sus scrofa (pig). Its description in RNAcentral is "lncRNA (ENSSSCG00055023471.1, ENSSSCG00065017433.1)". The record is from RNAcentral. Lineage: Eukaryota; Metazoa; Chordata; Mammalia; Artiodactyla; Suidae.